This is a non-coding RNA of Mycena vulgaris, 92 nucleotides long. The record is from the annotation of a GenBank genome assembly. NCBI's taxonomy places the organism in Eukaryota, Fungi, Basidiomycota, Agaricomycetes, Agaricales, Mycenaceae.
UCAGACACGGUGUAAUGGCAACACGGCCUCUUCUCUUAAUUAUGUGGGGAUUGAUUCAGAGGCAGUCCAGGGUUCGAAUCCCUGUGUCUGAA